GAGACCGGCGCACGGGUGCGUAACGCGUAUGCAAUCUACCUUUCACAAAGGGAUAGCCCAGAGAAAUUUGGAUUAAUACCUUAUAGUAUAUAUGAAUGGCAUCAUUUAUAUAUUAAAGAUUUAUCGGUGAAAGAUGAGCAUGCGUCCCAUUAGCUAGUUGGUAAGGUAACGGCUUACCAAGGCAACGAUGGGUAGGGGUCCUGAGAGGGAGAUCCCCCACACUGGUACUGAGACACGGACCAGACUCCUACGGGAGGCAGCAGUGAGGAAUAUUGGACAAUGGGCGCAAGCCUGAUCCAGCCAUGCCGCGUGCAGGAUGACGGUCCUAUGGAUUGUAAACUGCUUUUAUACGAGAAGAAACACUCCGACGUGUCGGAGCUUGACGGUAUCGUAAGAAUAAGGAUCGGCUAACUCCGUGCCAGCAGCCGCGGUAAUACGGAGGAUCCAAGCGUUAUCCGGAAUCAUUGGGUUUAAAGGGUCCGUAGGCGGUCAGGUAAGUCAGUGGUGAAAGCCCAUCGCUCAACGGUGGAACGGCCAUUGAUACUGUCUGACUUGAAUUAUUAGGAAGUAACUAGAAUAUGUAGUGUAGCGGUGAAAUGCUUAGAGAUUACAUGGAAUACCAAUUGCGAAGGCAGGUUACUACUAAUGGAUUGACGCUGAUGGAC
This 665-nucleotide ribosomal RNA is filed under the name Flavobacterium sp. B435_2. Its description in RNAcentral is "bacterial SSU rRNA". It matches the Rfam family "Bacterial small subunit ribosomal RNA", at positions 91 to 754 of the family's 1533-position model. The record is from RNAcentral. Lineage: Bacteria; Pseudomonadati; Bacteroidota; Flavobacteriia; Flavobacteriales; Flavobacteriaceae.